This 2767-nucleotide long non-coding RNA is filed under the name Homo sapiens (human). Its description in RNAcentral is "PREDICTED lncRNA (TCONS_00190422)". The record is from RNAcentral. Lineage: Eukaryota; Metazoa; Chordata; Mammalia; Primates; Hominidae.
CAGAAGAGGUUUUAUUUUAUUUCCAAAUAUAUCUUCAUUUGUUUAAAAUAUUGAAUUGAACAAAUAUCUUUUCCAGUUCUAACAUGGAGAAAAAAAAAUCAAAAAUUUCAAAUGAACAAAAUUUCAGAGUCAGCCGUUGUAAUACAGGGAAGUUCUUAGGAAUUCCCAGAAAAGCAUAACAAUUUAACAGCUUAAAUUUAGUGAGAUCAAAGUUCAAAGUACUCAAUAUUUUACAGACUUAGAUGUUCCUGUUCUGAAAUCAAAACAGUGAUUCAGCUCCUGUGUCUAUUUUUCUUCAGGAUUUAUUUUCUUUUUCAGUGUUCAAUGUUCUUUUGUACACUCUGGGAAACUCAGUAGAGAAAAAGUAUACUUUUGUUUUAGAAAGAUAAUUUCAGUUAUUUACUGCUAAAUUAUCCUAAAGCAUCCCUGGACACAAGGAGAAUAAGUGCUUUCAAGAUGAUCUAACACACAACUUAAACUAUAGUGCAAAGGAAACAAGAAAAACAAGCUGUAUUCAAAGAUACAGAUUAAGUACUCAGAGACCCUACUGGUUGGGAUGUCACACAAACAUGACUCCAUUUUCCCCUACAGCAUUCCUGUAUUCUUAUAUAAUUGUUUUUUUGUAAACUUGCACAAGUUACUUAAGCUCUCUUAAUUUUCAUUUCCCCCAUUGGUUUCCUGGUCAAGUUUUAACACACAGUAGGUUCUCAGGAAAUACUUGUUCAAAGGCCGGGUGUGGUGGCUCAUGCUUGUAAUCCCAGCACUUUGGGAGGCUGAGGUGGGUGAAUCACUUGAAGUCAGGAGUUCAAGACCUGCCUGGCAAAACCCUGUCUCUACCAAAAAUACAAAAAUCAGCCAGGCAUGGUGCCUGUAGUGACAGCUACUUGGGAGCCUGAGACAGGAGAAAGGCUUGAACCCAGGAGGCGGAGUUUGCAGUGAACCAAAAUUGCACCACUGCACUCCAGCCUGGGCGACAGAGCAAGACUUCGUCUCAAAAAUAAAUAAAUAAAUAAAUACUUGUUCAAUAUUCGGAUCAAUAUACAAUAUGGAGUAUUAAAGAUAAGUAUAUUCCGGAUACUCUAUAUGUAUGGAACCACAUGAGCUUAAGUGCAGAGGUCCAAAUAAGAAUGUCCGUCUUAUUCUCUGUACUUAACUCGUGUGGUACCAUACAUCUAGAGUGCCCAGGAUAUACUCAUCUUUUUCUCUAGCCAUCUAUAUUAUUUUUCUAUUGAUACAUAAUAAAUUACCACACACGUAGUGGCUUACGACAACACACAUUUAUCAUCUCACAGUUUUCAUGGAUCAGAAGUCCAGAUAUGGCUUAGCUGAGUCCUUUGAUCAAGGUCUCACAAGGCUACAAUCAAGGUGUCAGCUGGGUGGCGCUUCUUUUUGGAGCUCAGGGUCCUAUUCCAAGCUCACAUGAUGGUUGGCAGAAUUCAGUUACUUGCAGCUGCAGAGCUGAGGUUCUGCUUUCUUGCUGGUUGUUAGCUGGGAGCCACUCUUAGCUCCUGCAGGUUCCCACAGUCCCCUAUCAUGUGGCUCCUUUGUAGCCCACCUCACAGCAUAGCAGCUCACAUCUUCAGGGCCAGCAAGGCAGGGUCUGUCAUCUCAUCCUUGUCUGCCCACAGUCAUACAUCUAUAUCUAUGUCUACAUUUAUAUCUGUAUCUAUAUAUACAUCUAUAUCAUCUAUAUAUAUCUAUACUAUAUCUAUAUAUAACUUAUACCUCAAGGGAGUGACAUUCCACCGUUUUUGCCAUAUUCUAUGGGUUAGAAGCAAGUCUCAGGUUCUGUUCAUGCUCAAGGAAUAGGGAUCAUCAACAAGUAUGACUCAACUGGGACUCCCCUUAUGGUAUAUUCGCCACACUGUACAAGUCCUAUUGACUUCAAAGUCAAGCUCAAGUUACAGUCUUCUCCUUUGAUCUCCUAGCACUAGACACUAAACAGAGCAGAACUAAGAAUUUAUCCAGGGUGGUGUUUUUUUUUAAAUCAUUUCUCAUGUCCUGUAACACACACACAUAGGUGCAGGACUAAAUGCUGAAUCCCUACGGCUUGAGAUCCCCUGAGGCUGGGAUCUUGCAGCUAUCUGCAAUCUUUAUCUGUCUUUUGACACACUCUCCAAAUCCUCAACAAAUUAUGCUAAAUUUUCUGCACAGACACUUAGAAUCCUCACUUCUUCCCCAUUUAUGGGUCUUCACUCUAUUUCAAACUUCAAAUAUAUCUUGUGUCUGAAAAAAAACUUUUGGCUGUGCUUCAUGCUUCUUGUCUUUGCUAACUCCACAAACCCCUACACAUGCUACUCUCUGAAACUGUCACCACAGUGAUUAUGCGAUCCCCAAGACACAGGCCAGAUGUCUUCCUUACUUGAAGCACUUACCGGCACUUAUAUAUCUCAUCUUUCAACAAGUACAUAUAUAAAGGCUGAGAAUAAUUUGUGUAUUAUUUUUUGUUUAGGUAACAAAUUAAAAAAUUAAAAUAUCAUAUCCCAAAAUGGAAAUAAAACAGAUAGAAUGCCGAGUAUAUAUUAAAUAAGGCAAGCUAUUUAUGAUGAGCUAACUCACUUGCAAGUUACCAGAGAGCAUGGAGUAAAUCCUUUAUUUCUCAUGUCCUCAUUGUGCCUAAGACUGCGUUUCUGUACACACAUUAAAAAAACAGGAAAUCAAUGGUUCCCAAUGGUGAUGUGUGAACUCUUCAGGAUCUGGAGGAACAUUAUUAAAUUGCUCCAUUAGCUUUCUCUUGUUUGGGUUGAAAAUAAAAAUUGUGAUGCCA